CUUGAGCAUUAAAAAAAAAAUAAAAUUGUACGAGUAUAAAUAGAUGGUGAAUCGAUUUUUAAAUAAACAGAAACUUAUUAGAAAUCAACUAGUUCACUUCAAAAACUUCUAUUCAAAAUGAAAUUCAUCCUUAUCACAUUUUUGGUAUGCUUUGCCAUCGUUCUCUCAAUGGCUGCAGCUGCUCCAUCCGAAGAAGGAAUUUUCGGUGACUUACCUGACAGUGACAUUGCCAAUCCACAGGAACCAAGCGAAUCACUGAAAUUGUUGCUGUUGAAGAAAUUGAAGCUCAAAUUGUUGAGAGGUUAAACUGAUCAAAGAUUAUUGUUACUAAAUGAAUUAAGUUCACAAGAUUGAUUAUUUUUAAGUUAUUGUUACAAUAAAAGUUAUUUAAGACAA
Eupeodes corollae is the source of this 396-nucleotide long non-coding RNA. RefSeq lists it as uncharacterized. NCBI's taxonomy places the organism in Eukaryota, Metazoa, Arthropoda, Insecta, Diptera, Syrphidae. The transcript is spliced from 2 exons. The record is from RefSeq and is a predicted model, not a curated record.